GAGUUUGAUCCUGGCUCAGGACGAACGCUGGCGGCGUGCCUAACACAUGCAAGUCGAACGGAGAAUUUCAAUAAGCUUGCUUAGAGAAAUUUUUAGUGGCGGACGGGUGAGUAACGCGUGGGUAACCUACCCAUAAACCCGGGACAACCCUUGGAAACGAGGGCUAAUACCGGAUAAUCUUUAAUGUUGGCAUCAACGUUUAAGAAAAGGUGGCCUCUGAAAAUGCUACCGAUUAUGGAUGGACCCGCGUCUGAUUAGCUAGUUGGUGGGGUAAAGGCCUACCAAGGCGACGAUCAGUAGCCGGCCUGAGAGGGUGAACGGCCACACUGGGACUGAGACAC
This 341-nucleotide ribosomal RNA is filed under the name uncultured low G+C Gram-positive bacterium 358ev. RNAcentral describes it as "bacterial SSU rRNA". It matches the Rfam family "Bacterial small subunit ribosomal RNA", at positions 9 to 327 of the family's 1533-position model. The record is from RNAcentral. Lineage: Bacteria; Bacillati; Bacillota.